GAGGAGAAGGUGGAAAACAGUUUCCCAGGGUUAGAGGCAGAAGCUUGACAUUUAGAGUGGUAGAAAGUGGCUUUAGCAGCAGAUACAGAGGAAGAGAAGGAAGAGAGGAGGGAGUGAAAGGAUGAUUGGUCCUCCAGAAGUUCAGUUUUUCUCCAUUUUCUGUUCUGUAAGCCCUGUUCUGUAAGCCCUGUUCUGUUUACCCUGUUCUGUUAGCCCUGUUCUGUAAGCUCGCAAUGAGUCACUCAGACACAGAGCAGGAGGGGAGGGCCUAGCCGGCCGGGAGAAAUGGGGACAGUGCGAGUCAUAUGAUGUGGAAAGGGAGGAGAGUAAGGUCGAAGAGGCAGGAUCAGGAGACAAGAGGAGGGGUGUGUCACUUGAGUGGGUUGAGUCACUGAUGUGGUCUUCCUGUCUGGGUUUGCACCCCCCCCCCCUUGGGUUGUGCCGUGGCGGAGAUCUUUGUGGGCUAUACUCGGCAUUGUCUCAGUAUGGUAAGUUGGUGGUUGAAGAUAUCCCUCUAGUGGUGUGGGGGCUGUGCUUUGGCAAAGUGGGUGGGGUUAUAUCCUUCCUGUUUGGCCCUGUCCGGGGGUAUCGUCGGAUGGGGCCACAGUGUCUCCUGACCCCUCCUGUCUCAGCCUCCAGUAUUUAUGCUGCAGUAGUUUAUGUGUCGGGGGGCUAGGGUCAGUCUGUUAUAUCUGGAGUAUUUCUCUUGUCUUAUCCGGUGUCCUGUGUGAAUUUAAGUAUGCUCUCUCUAAUUCUCUCUUUCUCUCUUUCUUUCUUUCUUUCUUUCUUUCUUUCUUUCUUUCUUUCUUUCUUUCUUUCUUUCUUUCUUUCUCUCUCUCGGAGGACCUGAGCCCUAGGACCAUGCCUCAGGACUACCUGACAUGAUGACUCCUUGCUGUCCCCAGUCCACCUGGCCGUGCUGCUGCUCCAGUUUCAACUGUUCUGCCUGCGUUCAUAAAUGGAACCCUGACCUGUUCACCGGACGUGCUACCUGUCCCAGACCUGCUGUUUUCAACUCUCUAGAGACAGCAGGAGCGGUAGAGAUACUCUGAAUGAUCAGCUAUGAAAAGCCAACUGACAUUUACUCCUGAGGUGCUGACUUGUUGCACCCUCGACAACUGUG
This 1123-nucleotide long non-coding RNA is filed under the name Salmo salar (Atlantic salmon). RNAcentral describes it as "lncRNA (ENSSSAG00000113421.1)". Lineage: Eukaryota; Metazoa; Chordata; Actinopteri; Salmoniformes; Salmonidae. The record is from RNAcentral.